RNAcentral lists this microRNA precursor (134 nucleotides) under Puccinia graminis f. sp. tritici CRL 75-36-700-3. RNAcentral describes it as "microRNA MIR807". The record is from RNAcentral. Lineage: Eukaryota; Fungi; Basidiomycota; Pucciniomycetes; Pucciniales; Pucciniaceae.
GAACUCAUCAACUGGAAGGAAUUCCUUCCGGUUGAUGAGGUUUAGCUUCCUCAUUGACCAAAGGAGAGUCCUUCCGGUCAAUGAGGAAGCUAUACCUCAUCAACCAGAAGGGAUUCCUUCCUGUUGAUGAGGUU